AUGCCAGGCUGUGCUUUUUACAAGCAAAAAGAAAAAAAAAGAGAAACUCAAGAGUUUCCUCUGAUGCUGCGAAACAGAGUUAUUCUCAAUCGUCUUGCUGCCUCUCCUGAAGGAACACCUCUCCCAGCUGAAGGUCCCACCACUGGCAGCAUCAUUGGAGCCAUCAUUGGGGUCAUUAUAAUCAUAGCAAUCAUUGGAACAGUCAUUGCAGUGUUCCGCAAGCACAAGAACAACAUCAUGAACAAAGACGGUCCACCCAAACACAAGCCCCCUCCCCCUAAGAAGACUGUAAAUUAUCAGUCCCAGGUAAGUCUUUGCCAAAUGCAGACAUGGAGUCUUAAAACAGUUGAGGUUGCCAAACAAAUGGCAAAAAUAUCACAAAUAUUGGAUCCAAUUUAA
RNAcentral lists this long non-coding RNA (399 nucleotides) under Oryzias sinensis (Chinese medaka). RNAcentral's name for it is "lncRNA (ENSOSIG00000005537.1)". The record is from RNAcentral. Lineage: Eukaryota; Metazoa; Chordata; Actinopteri; Beloniformes; Adrianichthyidae.